GUGGGGAAUAUUGCACAAUGGGCGCAAGCCUGAUGCAGCGACGCCGCGUGAGGGAUGACGGCCUUCGGGUUGUAAACCUCUUUCAGUAGGGAAGAAGCGAAAGUGACGGUACCUGCAGAAGAAGCGCCGGCUAACUACGUGCCAGCAGCCGCGGUAAUACGUAGGGCGCGAGCGUUAUCCGGAAUUAUUGGGCGUAAAGAGCUCGUAGGCGGUUUGUCGCGUCUGCCGUGAAAGUCCGGGGCUUAACUCCGGAUCUGCGGUGGGUACGGGCAGACUAGAGUGCAGUAGGGGAGACUGGAAUUCCUGGUGUAGCGGUGAAAUGCGCAGAUAUCAGGAGGAACACCGAUGGCGAAGGCAGGUCUCUGGGCUGUAACUGACGCUGAGGAGCGAAAGCAUGGGGAGCGAACAGGAUUAGAAACCCUAGUAGUCC
This 430-nucleotide ribosomal RNA is filed under the name uncultured Micrococcaceae bacterium. RNAcentral's name for it is "bacterial SSU rRNA". It matches the Rfam family "Bacterial small subunit ribosomal RNA", at positions 354 to 796 of the family's 1533-position model. Lineage: Bacteria; Bacillati; Actinomycetota; Actinomycetes; Micrococcales; Micrococcaceae. The record is from RNAcentral.